GAUGAACGCUGGCGGCGUGCUUAACACAUGCAAGUCGAACGAACCUUCGGGUUAGUGGCGGACGGGUGAGUAACGCGUGAGAAUCUGCCCUCAGGAGGGGGAUAACGGCUGGAAACGGCCGCUAAUACCCCAUAUGCCGCGAGGUGAAAUGAAUUUCGCCUGAGGAUGAGCUCGCGUCUGAUUAGCUAGUUGGUGGGGUAAGAGCCUACCAAGGCAUCGAUCAGUAGCUGGUCUGAGAGGAUGAUCAGCCACACUGGGACUGAGACACGGCCCAGACUCCUACGGGAGGCAGCAGUGGGGAAUUUUCCGCAAUGGGCGAAAGCCUGACGGAGCAACGCCGCGUGAGGGAUGAAGGCCUCUGGGCUGUAAACCUCUUUUAUCAAGGAAGAAGAUCUGACGGUACUUGAUGAAUAAGCCACGGCUAAUUCCGUG
Molecule: ribosomal RNA, 432 nt
Filed under: uncultured bacterium
Lineage: Bacteria
Description: bacterial SSU rRNA
Rfam family: Bacterial small subunit ribosomal RNA
Source: RNAcentral